Molecule: ribosomal RNA, 497 nt
Filed under: uncultured bacterium
Lineage: Bacteria
Description: bacterial SSU rRNA
Rfam family: Bacterial small subunit ribosomal RNA
Source: RNAcentral
GACGAACGCUGGCGGCGUGCUUAACACAUGCAAGUCGAACGGACGAGUGAGAUAAGUUUACUUAACUCACAAGUUAGUGGCGGACGGGUGAGUAACACGUGGAUAAUCUACCUGCAACACCGGGAUAACGCUGUGAAAACGGUGCUAAUACCGGAUACGUUCCCUUGUGCGCAUGUAUGAGGGAAGAAAGCUCAGGCGGUUGCAGAUGAGUCCGCGGCUGAUUAGCUAGUUGGUGAGGUAAAGGCUCACCAAGGCGAUGAUCAGUAGCCGGCCUGAGAGGGUGAACGGCCACACUGGGACUGAGACACGGCCCAGACUCCUACGGGAGGCAGCAGUGGGGAAUCUUCCGCAAUGGGCGCAAGCCUGACGGAGCAACGCCGCGUGGGUGAAGAAGGCCUUCGGGUUGUAAAGCCUGUCUUAUGGGAAGAAGUCAGUGACGGUACCAUAGGAGGAAGCCACGGCUAACUACGUGCCAGCAGCCGCGGUAAAAGUACUCU